RNAcentral lists this ribosomal RNA (253 nucleotides) under uncultured bacterium. RNAcentral's name for it is "partial 16S ribosomal RNA". It matches the Rfam family "Bacterial small subunit ribosomal RNA", at positions 524 to 776 of the family's 1533-position model. The record is from RNAcentral.
GACGAACCGUGCGAACGUUGUUCGGAAUCACUGGGCUUAAAGGGCGCGUAGGCGGCUUGCCAAGUCAGGGGUGAAAUCCUGCAGCUUAACUGUAGAAGGGCCUUUGAUACUGGCGAGCUCGAGGGAGGUAGGGGUAUGUGGAACUUCCGGUGGAGCGGUGAAAUGCGUUGAUAUCGGAAGGAACGCCGGUGGCGAAAGCGACGUACUGGACCUCUUCUGACGCUGAGGCGCGAAAGCUAGGGGAGCGAACAGG